This 253-nucleotide ribosomal RNA is filed under the name uncultured bacterium. Its description in RNAcentral is "partial 16S ribosomal RNA". It matches the Rfam family "Bacterial small subunit ribosomal RNA", at positions 524 to 776 of the family's 1533-position model. The record is from RNAcentral.
UACGGGGGGGGCAAGCGUUGUUCGGAAUUACUGGGCGUAAGGGCUCGUAGGCGGCCAACUAAGUCGGAUGUGAAAUCCCCAGGCUUAACCUGGGAACUGCAUCCGAUACUGGAUGGCUUGAAUCCGGGAGAGGGAUGCAGAAUUCCAGGUGUAGCGGUGAAAUGCGUAGAUAUCUGGAGGAAUACCGGUGGCGAAGGCGGCAUCCUGGACCGGCAUUGACGCUGAGUGAGCGAAAGCCAGGGGAGCAAACGGG